Molecule: long non-coding RNA, 235 nt
Filed under: Manihot esculenta (cassava)
Lineage: Eukaryota; Viridiplantae; Streptophyta; Magnoliopsida; Malpighiales; Euphorbiaceae
Description: long non-coding RNA (MESC_LNC008275)
Source: RNAcentral
UUUGGGGUUUUAGGGUAGUUUUAGACCCCUUGGUGCAUAUCUAUAUGUAUAUGCUAGUUGGGAGUAGUUGAGAUGCAUGUUUGUAAGUUUUUGGGCAAAGUUUGCAUGAAACAGAGCAGGGUUCUGCCCUUCGGGCAAAACCAGGUUCGGCCGCCGAAGGAAGGUUCGGCCGCCGAACCCCUUGUGGAGGCAGUUCGGCUGCCAAAGGUUGCCCCCGAAAGCUAGGCUUUCUGUU